GACGGAGGAGGCAAGCGUUAUCCGGAAUUAUUGGGCGUAAAGCGUCCGUAGGUGGCGAUUCAAGUCUGUUGUCAAAUACAGUGGCUCAACUACUGAAGGGCAAUGGAACUGAGUUGCUAGAGUGCAACAGGGGUAGAGGGAAUUCCGGUGUAGCGGUGAAAUGCGUAGAUAUUGGGAAGAACACCGGUGCGAAAGCGCCUGCUGGGUCUGCACUGACACUGAGGACGAAAGCGUAGGGAGC
RNAcentral lists this ribosomal RNA (241 nucleotides) under uncultured bacterium. Its description in RNAcentral is "partial 16S ribosomal RNA". It matches the Rfam family "Bacterial small subunit ribosomal RNA", at positions 524 to 769 of the family's 1533-position model. The record is from RNAcentral.